This 2209-nucleotide long non-coding RNA is filed under the name Homo sapiens (human). RNAcentral describes it as "HSALNT0106758". Lineage: Eukaryota; Metazoa; Chordata; Mammalia; Primates; Hominidae. The record is from RNAcentral.
CGCUCUGUUGCCCAGGCUGGAGCACAGUGGUGUGACCCUGGCUCACUGCAACCUUUGUCUCCCGAGUUCAAGCGAUUCUCCUGCCUCAGCCUCCUGAGUAGCUAGGAUUACAGGCACAUGCUACCAAACCUGGCUAAUUUUUGUAUUUUUAGUAGAGAUGGGGUUUCACCAUGUUGAUCAGACUAGUCUCAAACUCUUGACCUUGUGAAAUUUUUGUAUUUUUAGUAGAGACGGGGUUUCACCAUAUUGAUCAGGUUGGUCCCAAACUCCUGACCUCAGGUGAUCCACCUGACUUGGCCUCCCAAAGUGCUAGGAUUACAGGCGUGAGCCGCCGUGCCCAGCCAGAACACAUAUAGUCUCUUAAGAAGAAAAAAAUUAACUACUGAUUAUUAUUAAGAAGUUACUGUCCUAAAUUUUUAGAAACGCAUACUCACGUAUUUAGGGAUGAACUGUCAUGAAAUCUGUAAACCACUUUAAAAUAUUUAAUUAAGCAAAAAACAAUGAAGCAAGCCAGAUACAGUGGCUUAUGCCUAUAAUCCCAGCAGUUUGGAAAGCCGAGGCGGGAUAAUUGCUUGAGCCCAGGAGUUCGAGACCAGCCUGAGCAAGAUGGCAAGACCCUGUCUCUACAAAGAGUAAGAAAAUUAGCCAGGCCUGGUGGCACAUGACUGUAGUCCCCACUACUUGGGAGGCUGAGGUGUGAAAACAGCUUGAAUCCAGGAAUUCAAGGUGGCAGUGAGCUUUGAUCCUGCCACUGCUCUCCAGCCUGGGUAACAAAACAAGACCCCAUCUCUAAAAAUAUUAAAUUGGGCCGGGUGCUGUGGCUCACACCUAUAAUCCAGCACUUUGGGAGGCACAGGUGGGUGGAUCACCUAAGGUCAGGAGUUCGAGACUAGCCUGGCCAACAUGGUGAAACCCUGUCUCUACUAAAAAUACAAAAAUUAGCCGGGCCUAGUGGCGCAUUCCUGUAAUCCCAGCUACUCAAGAGGCUAAGGCAGGAAAAUCGCUUGAACCCAGGAGGCAGAGGUUGCAGUGAGCCGAGAUCAUGCCAUUGCACUCCAACCUGGGUGACAAGAGCGAAACUCUGUCUCAAAAAAAUAAAAAAUACAAAAUAAAUUUAAAAAGUUAGAAAAUUAAGGAAAUAUGGCAAAAAUGUUAGCAGUUAAUAAAUCUCAAUGGUAGAGAUAGAGGGAGUUACAUAUUAUUUACUUUUCAGUGUUUGAAAAUUUUCUUAAUAAAAAUUUGUAUAGGUUUAAGAAAGAAAAAGUGAAUAGCUGAUUAUCAUUUUUCUUCACUUAAGAACUUUAAACACAGAAUUUAAAUUUUUCAUAUUUUUUGAAAAUUAACAUAUAUUUAUUACAGUGCCAAAUCUCAUGAGUCCCUGUCUCAUAAUCUAAGACCAGGCUACUCUGAAAGAGGACAGAGUUCACUGCCUAAUCCAACACUGGCUGUAGUGUAAAUGCAACACAGGUGAUUUUUGCCCCAGUUCCAAGGCUACCUAACUAGCUAUGUGGGCCUUAGUCACCCUUAAAGGAAGAUGGUUGCAACUAUGCCAGUUAGAACAUUUUUCUGCUCUGCUUCCACAGUGGCACUCACAAGAGGAGGACUUGAUUUUAUAGCUUGUGUACAGGAGAAUAUAAAGUUGGCUUCAAAGGAGGUAGGAUAGGUUUGGCAUUUUUCUCCUCAUAAUGUUUCCUGAAGCAUGAAAGGAUCCUUGAUCAGAAGAGUGCUCAGUUCUAAUUUCUAAAAUUUGCUGGCUUAAUAUUUUUAAAGAUUCAAUUCUCCAUAUGAGUAAGUUAGCGUGUAUCAUCAAAAACUAUCUAGAACUGUGUGCAGAGACUGUUACUGGUUUUCCAAGUUGUAUAUUUUUGAGUAUCUUAAAAUAUUUCAUCAACUUUCUAAAACAUCAAGAAAAGCUCUCUAUACAAAUACCAUGGUUGAUUUUAAUUAUUUUGUUUUCCAUCCUUUUAAAAAUAUUUUCUGCUUUGCAUCCCAUUAUUAUUUUGAGUUUCUUUUCAUUUGUAGUUUGUUGUUCAUUGUGUUGUUUUACAGCUAAGAUUCAUUUCAUACGUUUGAUGCUUAGCUGAAAAAUUACAAUAAAUUCUCCAAUGAAAUUAUGUAUCUUUAUUUAAUGAAAAUGCCUGCUGCGUACCAAGGUAUGUACUAGGGCAUCUGGGGUAAGUAAAAACAAACACAUAGAGCCUGCCUGGAG